GGAAUAUCCUCCGCAAGCGACGCCGAUUCUCUGAUCGUCAAUGCCGGUGUUACUGUUAGAACGAAGAGCAACUGCCUCCUGUUGGUGAAAGAUGCCAGUAAUGAUUUGGGACCGUGCGCAUUGCGCGCACCGCGGAGCAAGAGAGAUUGGAGAAUAGGUGGAGAUAUUGUGGAAGCCAUUGGUUUGGCUCUACAGCCGGAGGAUUAUCCAUAUUUGAAAGACUACAGAAUAUGUGGGUGUGGGUGCGUUGUAUUUGCCGAUGGGCAAUACGGUCAUUUAGACGAUAAAGGAAAACGCUGUCGUUUUUGCGUUGUACGUUUUCCAUAGGAUUUCCCUCGUUUUAUCCAAAAUUUUCCGCCAGAAAAAUAGAAUAGACAACCGUUUCCCUCUCACAUUUCCGGUGUUCAUUUUCCAAAAUCCAGACCUAAACAGUGGCGGAAGACGAAGUGUGGUAUCGAAAUCAUCAUUGACAAUGACCGAACAAACCGUCGCUGAGGCUCCAAUCGCCUUGGAAACCCAGAACUCGAACGAGGCCACCAUCGAAUCGAACGUCCAGGGAGGCACUGAGUCCACUUGCAAUAACAUCAGCAAC
This 592-nucleotide unclassified non-coding RNA is filed under the name Hevea brasiliensis (rubber tree). The record is from RNAcentral. Lineage: Eukaryota; Viridiplantae; Streptophyta; Magnoliopsida; Malpighiales; Euphorbiaceae.